UGAGUGCGUCAUUGUUGGAACUGAUGAAUGCUACUCUGCAGCUGCUGCCUGUCUGCUGAAACGUUGCACUCUUUGGGUUGGUACCUGAGCUGUGAUGGCUCUGCAGGACUGGAAUUGCUCGCCAGCACCAAUUAAUUAAAGCCAUCUUCCCAGAAGUGCUCUGCUAUCAGCAUCUGCAGCCAUGCUUACUGCCCUGAAGGCAAAAGUGAAGCAAAGCGAUGCCUUCAACGCUGACAGCUGUGGUGCUGCUCUGGACUUUGGGUCUGUGCAUCCAAUCCCUUGCAGGCGUGUUGUUUGACAUGGAGCUGUUGGUGUGUCUGCCCGCCUGGCUUGCUAUCUGUUGAUCUUUCUGGCUCUCUGCCUGCUAUGGUGGAGAAAUAUUGAGGCAUAAUGGAAGCUUUGCAGCUGACGGCUAA
RNAcentral lists this long non-coding RNA (416 nucleotides) under Numida meleagris (helmeted guineafowl). RNAcentral describes it as "lncRNA (ENSNMEG00000003647.1)". The record is from RNAcentral. Lineage: Eukaryota; Metazoa; Chordata; Aves; Galliformes; Numididae.